This 28-nucleotide non-coding RNA is filed under the name Mus musculus (house mouse). Lineage: Eukaryota; Metazoa; Chordata; Mammalia; Rodentia; Muridae. The record is from RNAcentral.
UGGGAAAAUGUGUUUUCUGCAUAAGGUC